RNAcentral lists this long non-coding RNA (628 nucleotides) under Pan troglodytes (chimpanzee). RNAcentral describes it as "long non-coding RNA NONPTRT005211". The record is from RNAcentral. Lineage: Eukaryota; Metazoa; Chordata; Mammalia; Primates; Hominidae.
UAGCAAUUUUAAGCCAGUGAUUUAAACAAUGGAUUGGGAUGGAAAAGCUCUGAAAAGUUAAAUUUGUGGCUGACACAAAGAACUCGAAUAUUUACCAAAAGUAAUAGGAAUGUGUAAAUGUGUUUUGGUGGUAAACUGUCCUUCAUUUAGAAUUAGUUGAGAAGCUGGUGUAUGCAGGUGUGAGAGGCGGUGCCCAGCCUGAGGGCUGUGCCUGUGGUGACACUGGCAUGCUGCUCUGGGGAAAUGGGUGCUGUAGGGGAAAUAAGCUAGGGUUAGGGAAGUUUUCUUUUAAUUUUAAUUUUGAAAUAAUUGUAGAGCCAGGGGAGGUUGCAGCUAAGAGUAGACAUGGCCAAUGUCCGUCUAGUGCAUCUGUGCUGUGCGUCUUAGUGGAACCUGCCCAGCAACUGUCGUGCUACAGUUGAGAGGUUUGUCGUUUCUAACAACGUGACUGUGCCUGGCUUAGGCAGGAUGGCAGCUGAUCUGGGGGUGGGGGUCUCCCCCUGGGCUCCACGUCUCAGCUCUGUUAGGGAGUUACGGCAUGUGUUCAGGUACGGUUUUCUCCACGUUACCCCCUUGCAGUUACAGAGAUGCUUGGAUUUGUGGAUUAUUUUCUUUCAUGAAUUUCAGA